Molecule: non-coding RNA, 104 nt
Organism: Alligator mississippiensis (American alligator)
Lineage: Eukaryota; Metazoa; Chordata; Crocodylia; Alligatoridae
Source: Rfam
CAACAUUUCUUUCUUUCUUUCUUAAAAUUGGAACGAUACAGAGAAGAUUAGCAUGGCCCCUGUACAAGGAUGACACGCAAAUUCGUGAAGCGUUCUUUCUUUCU